GAUGAACGCUAGCUACAGGCUUAACACAUGCAAGUCGCGGGGCAGCAUGGGGGUUGCUUGCAACCCCUGAUGGCGACCGGCGCACGGGUGAGUAACGCGUAUCCAACCUGCCCUUCACCACGGGAUAACCCGGCGAAAGUCGGACUAAUACCGUAUGUUGUCCAUUGACGGCAUCCGAUUUGGACGAAAGGCUUGGCGGUGGAAGGAUGGGGAUGCGUCCGAUUAGCUUGACGGCGGGGUAACGGCCCACCGUGGCUACGAUCGGUAGGGGUUCUGAGAGGAAGGUCCCCCACACUGGAACUGAGACACGGUCCAGACUCCUACGGGAGGCAGCAGUGAGGAAUAUUGGUCAAUGGGCGUAAGCCUGAACCAGCCAAGUAGCGUGCAGGAUGACGGCCCUAUGGGUUGUAAACUGCUUUUAUGCGGGGAUAAAGUGGCCCACGGGUGGGCUUUUGCAGGUACCGCAUGAAUAAGGACCGGCUAAUUCCGUG
Molecule: ribosomal RNA, 491 nt
Filed under: uncultured bacterium
Lineage: Bacteria
Description: partial 16S ribosomal RNA
Rfam family: Bacterial small subunit ribosomal RNA
Source: RNAcentral